This is a long non-coding RNA of Triticum dicoccoides, 2139 nucleotides long. RefSeq lists it as uncharacterized. The record is from RefSeq and is a predicted model, not a curated record. Lineage: Eukaryota; Viridiplantae; Streptophyta; Magnoliopsida; Poales; Poaceae. The transcript is spliced from 2 exons.
CAGGUCAUAGAUGAGGACCCGGCGACGACCACCGAGGUUUUGACAACAGGCUCAUCUGCCUCGGAUCCGUCUCCCUGUUGUUCCUGUGCUUCUCCCUCUAUAGACACACAUUGUCGAGCCGGUGAUUGGAGAAGGAUGGGGAGGCGAUGGAUAUGGAUACGGAGUCAGUGGAUGAAGAUGAUGUCAUGGCUGGGCUGAUUUCUAUUCAUCGUGUACCGCCACCUGCUCGCGUUUCUGUCUCUCGCCUAGAACCAUCAGCUAGAGGACAUGUAUUGUGCUGCUACCGGGGCCUUGACCUCAUAUUUAUCGGGCAUCUAAUUUGUUGCAAUUUGUCUCAACUAAACCCCACAUCUCACAUCUGUCUUUAGGUUUGCCCCCGUACUCCAACUGCAAGUGAGCAGCUUACUUGUGCAGAAGAAAAAGAAAGAGAAACCAUCUCCCAAGGGACACUCCCAGUUCAAGAUGAGCAUGAAGCUGAUAUACUAAACUACCAUCUCAAGAUACUCCCUCUGUUAACAUACUGAAUGUUGUUAAUGAUAAGGCAGUAAUUGAAGUUCCUCCUUGACGAACUAGCAAGAUAGUAGCACAGUUUCUCCAGUGUAAUCAAGCCCAACAACGGCUGAUGCACAAAAGGAUGAGUUUGUCUUGAACUUGUUAUAUACCACUGAUUUAUCAUCAUGUUUUUCAUGUUGAUUUUUUUAUCAAAGUACUUCUAUUUUUUCAUUCCAAAUUAUCACUGGACAGAUUCUGUAGGCUUAACAAGGAUUAUUAUGAUAAGCUUUUAUGGAUUAUAUACACUGUAGAGGUUAUUCCAAAUGAUUUACACGGAAGAAAUUCAUAGAACAACAGUCCAAUUUAAAGGCAAUGUGUAGUGCAAAGGAAACUUAAAAUGCAUCAUUGCCCUGUUCUUUUAUAUAUGUGUCUGGACUCUACUCAAGCAGCCAAUUCUGACGAGUUAUCGACACGGCAAUAGAUGUACUCAUGUACGCGGCCCCAGGGAUGGUAUUGCUCUCUCCAAUGCCCAGACAGGCAAAGGGCAUUUUAAGGUCAAGUACCUUUAUGUAGGUCGUGGUCUGAGCAUACACUGGAUGAUGCACCCUUACAAAAAUCUGGUUACUCUUCCACUUUCAGAUUCAUUAGCAAACUGUUCAUGAAAUUAUGGAUAUUAUAUAUGUAAAGAUACACUUUUUACUUGACAAACGAAAUCAUAUAGGUUCAGACUAAAUUUCUGAUGACCUUUUUCCAUGAUGCCCUGAAUUUUGGUGAUGAGAAUGUCUGGUCAUACUAAUGUGUCGAGCAAAGAAAGUUACCUUUUAAUGUUUAAGUGUAUUUCCCCAUAAUAAAAACAUGUUCAUUCAUGAGUUAUUUCUUGAUUUAGUGUUUCAAAAUCUAAGUUCGCUGAGUAGCCAGAAAUGAUUGAAGCACUAGCUAGCUUCCAUACUCACUACUCCAGUGGUAUGUUUUUAUGAUGUUCGAUUCAUAUUUAUAUUGAUAUGCUGAAUUCAUCCACCAGAACCUAAAUAUGACAUGUCCCUAGAUCUUUAUUUGAACUGAUUUCUUAUAUGAGUACAUGUUACAAUUACUUAAUUAUCUAGCUUCUAGCUACACUUCCAUUACUAUCUUUUGUAGGCAGCUAGAAAAUGAACAUCCACGAUGAUGAGAUCAUAGAAGAAAUGAACCUGCUCAUCUUGACGAGUAAUCGGCACGGCAAUAGCUAUAACCGUGGCAGCGUCCCCCAGGUAGGAUAUUGCUCUCUCCAACGCCCAUAGUGAUGAAGGUGCAUUUUAACACCAAGUAGUUUUAUUCACAUCCUGGUUAAUCAAUACAGUAACAUUCAAUCAUGUAAAGUUCUAGGAAAUUGGGUUGACAGCUUUGUUUAACACUUAAAUUGUUUAGUCUGAUAAAAUCACGCCUCACGCACAAGUUAACUCUUUUGCCUCUUGAAUUUAUAAUCCUGUCAGUCUGUUUCAGGUGAAGUGGUGCUUGCUUUAUUGCUGGGAAUAAUUAAGCUUAUUGCAUCUACAAGUGGGACAACAUACAAGUUUAUGCUUAAACUUGACCAUUUUGUUUGUAUUUUUCCUUCCGUUGCAAUGCACGGGCAUUUUUGCUAUAAUAAUAGAGAGCUAUUGCUUCUUACCA